ACUUGGGCUAAUACCGGAUGAUGUCUAGCGACCAAAGAUUUAUCGCCUUGGGAUAAGCCCGCGUCAGAUUAGGUAGUUGGUGGGGUAACGGCCUACCAAGCCUGCGAUCUGUAGCUGGUCUGAGAGGACGAUCAGCCACAUUGGGACUGAGACACGGCCCAAACUCCUACGGGAGGCAGCAGUGGGGAAUCUUGCGCAAUGGGCGAAAGCCUGACGCAGCCAUGCCGCGUGAAUGAUGAAGGUCUUAGGAUUGUAAAGUUCUUUCGCCCGUGACGAUGAUGACGGUAACGGGAGAAGAAGCCCCGGCUAACUUCGUGCCAGCAGCCGCGGUAAUACGAAGGGGGCUAGCGUUGUUCGGAAUUACUGGGCGUAAAGCGCGCGUAGGCGGGUUUGCAAGCCAGAGGUGAAAUGCCUGAGCUCAACUUAAGAAUUGCCUUUGGGACUGUGAGGCUUUGAGGACUGGAGAGGUGAGUGGAAAUCCCAGUGUAGAGGUGAAAAU
Molecule: ribosomal RNA, 499 nt
Filed under: uncultured bacterium
Lineage: Bacteria
Description: bacterial SSU rRNA
Rfam family: Bacterial small subunit ribosomal RNA
Source: RNAcentral